CCUACGGGUUGCACCAGUAGGGAAUCUUCCACAAUGGGCGCAAGCCUGAUGGAGCAACGCCGCGUGUGUGAUGAAGGGUUUCGGCUCGUAAAACACUGUUAUAAGAGAAGAACGGCACUGAGAGUAACUGUUCAGUGUGUGACGGUAUCUUACCAGAAAGGAACGGCUAAAUACGUGCCAGCAGCCGCGGUAAUACGUAUGUUCCAAGCGUUAUCCGGAUUUAUUGGGCGUAAAGCGAGCGCAGACGGUUAUUUAAGUCUGAAGUGAAAGCCCUCAGCUCAACUGAGGAAUGGCUUUGGAAACUGGAUGACUUGAGUGCAGUAGAGGAAAGUGGAACUCCAUGUGUAGCGGUGAAAUGCGUAGAUAUAUGGAAGAACACCAGUGGCGAAGGCGGCUUUCUGACUGUAACUGACGUUGAGGCUCGAAAGUGUGGGUAGCAAACAGGAUUAGAUACCCCCGUAGUC
RNAcentral lists this ribosomal RNA (464 nucleotides) under uncultured bacterium. RNAcentral describes it as "bacterial SSU rRNA". It matches the Rfam family "Bacterial small subunit ribosomal RNA", at positions 338 to 795 of the family's 1533-position model. The record is from RNAcentral.